Molecule: ribosomal RNA, 614 nt
Filed under: Salmonella enterica
Lineage: Bacteria; Pseudomonadati; Pseudomonadota; Gammaproteobacteria; Enterobacterales; Enterobacteriaceae
Description: partial 23S ribosomal RNA
Rfam family: Bacterial large subunit ribosomal RNA
Source: RNAcentral
UAGGGGAGCCGGAGGGAAACCGAGUCUUAACCGGGCGUUAAGUUGCAGGGUAUAGACCCGAAACCCGGUGAUCUAGCCAUGGGCAGGUUGAAGGUUGGGUAACACUAACUGGAGGACCGAACCGACUAAUGUUGAAAAAUUAGCGGAUGACCUGUGGCUGGGGGUGAAAGGCCAAUCAAACCGGGAGAUAGCUGGUUCUCCCCGAAAGCUAUUUAGGUAGCGCCUCGUGAAUUCAUCUCCGGGGGUAGAGCACUGUUUCGGCUAGGGGGCCAUCCCGGCUUACCAACCCGAUGCAAACUGCGAAUACCGGAGAAUGUUAUCACGGGAGACACACGGCGGGUGCUAACGUCCGUCGUGAAGAGGGAAACAACCCAGACCGCCAGCUAAGGUCCCAAAGUCAUGGUUAAGUGGGAAACGAUGUGGGAAGGCCCAGACAGCCAGGAUGUUGGCUUAGAAGCAGCCAUCAUUUAAAGAAAGCGUAAUAGCUCACUGGUCGAGUCGGCCUGCGCGGAAGAUGUAACGGGGCUAAACCAUGCACCGAAGCUGCGGCAGCGACACUGUGUGUUGUUGGGUAGGGGAGCGUUCUGUAAGCCUGUGAAGGUGGCCUGUGAGGG